This 478-nucleotide ribosomal RNA is filed under the name uncultured Planctomycetota bacterium. RNAcentral describes it as "bacterial SSU rRNA". It matches the Rfam family "Bacterial small subunit ribosomal RNA", at positions 364 to 832 of the family's 1533-position model. Lineage: Bacteria; Pseudomonadati; Planctomycetota. The record is from RNAcentral.
UUUCGCAAUGCCCGAAAGGGUGACGAAGCGACGCCGCGUGCGGGAAGAAGGCCUUCGGGUUGUAAACCGCUGUCGGGAGUUAAGAAAUGUAAGGAUGUUAAUAGCAUCUUUGCUUGACUAAGGCUCCGGAGGAAGCCACGGCUAACUCUGUGCCAGCAGCCGCGGUAAUACAGAGGCGGCAAGCGUUGUUCGGAAUUAUUGGGCGUAAAGAGCACGUAGGCGGCUAUGUAAGUCGGUUGUGAAUGCCUUCCGCUCAACGGGAGAACAGCAUCCGAUACUGCAUGGCUUGAGUGCGGGAGGGGAGAGUGGAACUUCUGGUGGAGCGGUGAAAUGCGUAGAUAUCAGAAGGAACGCCGGCGGCGAAAGCGGCUCUCUGGCCCAUAACUGACGCUGAGUGUGCGAAAGCUAGGGGAGCAAACGGGAUUAGAUACCCCGGUAGUCCUAGCCGUAAACGAUGGGCACUAAGUAGAGGGGUUUU